This is a long non-coding RNA of Oncorhynchus tshawytscha (Chinook salmon), 1387 nucleotides long. NCBI's taxonomy places the organism in Eukaryota, Metazoa, Chordata, Actinopteri, Salmoniformes, Salmonidae. The record is from Ensembl.
AAGAGACAUGUUUUAAAAGAAUAAUAUUUAACUUUAAUAUGAUCUCUUAUAGACAAUAGACAUUAGCUGUAUUAAAUACAUUUUGUUGGAUUCCAGUUUUCAGAGUUAAUCCACUUUUUCUUUCACAUUCUUUAAAAGCAUCAACACAUCUUAACUCCAGUCAAUGAGUGACCAACCUAAAACCCAUCAUAUAAGCGUUUUAAUGCCAAUGCAAUAGAAUCUGAAACAAUUAUUAUUUACAUGUAGAUACAAAUAUAUAUCACAAACAAGUAUUAUUGAUAAAUGUACAAUGACCAGCUCUAUAAAAUUACAAAUAUACUUCUAUUAUAAAAAGCCAUUUCUUAAAUACUCUUCCAGCUCAAGUUUUGUAUAAAGGACGCAUAGUAUGUGAGAUGGUGUUUGUCUGUCUGACAGUGUCCCAAUACUUUUACAAAGCUUAAUUUCCUUAAUCUCCUUCCUAAUAUCCUCCCCUAGUCUCCUCCAUGACUUGUAAAAGUUUAUAAACUAGGGCUGUGUCAGAAAUAAUACCCAAUGUUAUAUAGUGCAAUAGGACAUGAGGUGCUAUUUCACAUUUGCCCAUUCUAAUUGUGUAAACGAACCUAUUUAACAUAUCCAGUACAAACAGAUCAGCUCAUGAAGGAAAGGAGAUGAGGAAGAGGAAAGGAGAUGAGGAGAUGACAAUGUCUUAUACUAUUGGGACGCAGCCUUGAGAUGAAGUUGUUCAGUACUUCUGACAGCCACUUUGACUGUCCCUGUUCACAGCACUCCUGGAGUUUGUGUGUGUGUGUGUGUGUGUGUGUGUGUGUGUGUGUGUGUGUGUGUGUGUGUGUGUGUGUGUGUGUGUUUGUUGGGGGGGCGCCUGGGUGUCUGGACAGGGAGUCCCCUCCUCUCGAUGGCAACACUCCAAAAAGGGGGUCUCUGUCACUUUGAUUGGGCUCUAUGUCACAUGCCUAAGGAGAGACAGACAGAGAGACGAUGUUUGAUUAGUAAUGGACUGUAGACUCCUCUACGUACCUCAGGUCAGAGGGAUAGACCAAGGGGGCGGAGGUAAACUGUAGACCCUAAUAAUAACAUGUCGACUGACUGACUGACCCAUUGCCUAACGUGUCUAACUGACUGACCGUCCCAUUGCCUAACGUGUCUGUCUGACUGACUGACUGUCCAUUGCCUAACGUGUCUGACUGACUGACUGACUGUCCCAUUGCCUAACGUGUCUGACUGACUGACUGACUGACCGUCCCAUUGCCUAACGUGUCUGACUGACUAACUGACUGACCAUCCCAUUGCCUAACGUGUCUGACUGACUGAGUGACUGUCCCAUUGCCUAAUGUGUCUGACUGACUGACUGACCGUCCCAUUGCCUAAUGUGUCUGACUGACUGACCGUC